This 414-nucleotide ribosomal RNA is filed under the name Triticum aestivum (bread wheat). Its description in RNAcentral is "partial small subunit ribosomal RNA". Lineage: Eukaryota; Viridiplantae; Streptophyta; Magnoliopsida; Poales; Poaceae. The record is from RNAcentral.
AUGUACUCCAAACAUGGAUUGUCUUCUGCAAAUUUUGGAGGGCAGAAAGCAUUCUCUAUUUUUCUACUGACAUGUUCCUGCAAUAAACAGAGGGCAACUAUUGAAGAAUAUCCAUUUAAUGUGUUAGAACAGAGGAAUACAUCACAGCUAGGCUCAAGUAACAAUAGAAAAUGGCUGGUUAUUUUAGUUGUUUUUCUUACACCUGAAUAUAAAAAAUGUGCAGCUCUUCUUUACACAAGGGUGGAGAGAAAUUUGAUACUUAGUUCUGCUCUUCUAUUUCAUUACCGUUCAAAUGGUCCACUGAUUUUAGUGCAAACAUACUCUUGGAUACUCUUUGUGAGUGACCCAAAAACAAGAGGGGGCAUACUUCCAUUUCAAACAACAAAAAUGAAUGUUCUUUGCUUCGCUUCUUGA